CUACGGGACGCUCCAGUGGGGAAUCUUGGACAAUGGGCGCAAGCCUGAUCCAGCCAUGCCGCGUGAGUGAAGAAGGCCUUAGGGUCGUAAAGCUCUUUCGCCAGAGAUGAUAAUGACAGUAUCUGGUAAAGAAACCCCGGCUAACUCCGUGCCAGCAGCCGCGGUAAUACGGAGGGGGUUAGCGUUGUUCGGAAUUACUGGGCGUAAAGCGCGCGUAGGUGGAUUAGUCAGUCAGAGGUGAAAUCCCAGGGCUCAACCCUGGAACUGCCUUUGAUACUGCUAGUCUUGAGUUCGAGAGAGGUGAGUGGAAUUCCGAGUGUAGAGGUGAAAUCCGUAGAUAUUCGGAGGAACACCAGUGGCGAAGGCGGCUCACUGGCUCGAUACUGACGCUGAGGUGCGAAAGUGUGGGGAGCAAACAGGAUUAGAUACCCGCGUAGUC
This 439-nucleotide ribosomal RNA is filed under the name uncultured bacterium. RNAcentral's name for it is "partial 16S ribosomal RNA". It matches the Rfam family "Bacterial small subunit ribosomal RNA", at positions 339 to 795 of the family's 1533-position model. The record is from RNAcentral.